GAUGAACGCUGGCGGCGUGCCUAACACAUGCAAGUCGAGCGAUUCUCUUCGGAGAAGAGCGGCGGACGGGUGAGUAACGCGUGGGUAACCUGCCCUGUACACACGGAUAACAUACCGAAAGGUAUGCUAAUACGAGAUGAUAUAUUUUUAUUGCAUGAUAAAAAUAUCAAAGCUUUUGCGGUACAGGAUGGACCCGCGUCUGAUUAGCUAGUUGGUAAGGUAACGGCUUACCAAGGCGACGAUCAGUAGCCGACCUGAGAGGGUGAUCGGCCACACUGGAACUGAGACACGGUCCAGACUCCUACGGGAGGCAGCAGUGGGGAAUAUUGCACAAUGGGCGAAAGCCUGAUGCAUGCAACGCCGCGUGAGCGAUGAAGGCCUUCGGGUCGUAAAGCUCUGUCCUCAAGGAAGAUAAUGACGGUACUUGAGGAGGAAGCCCCGGCUAACUACGUGCCAGCAGCCGCGGUAAUACGUAGGGGGCUAGCGUUAUCCGGAAUUACUGGGCGUAAAGGGUGCGUAGGCGGUCUUUCAAGCCAGAAGUGAAAGGCUACGGCUCAACCGUAGUAAGCUUUUGGAACUGUAGGACUUGAGUGCAGGAGAGGAGAGUGGAAUUCCUAGUGUAGCGGUGAAAUGCGUAGAUAUUAGGAGGAACACCAGUAGCGAAGGCGGCUCUCUGGACUGUAACUGACGCUGAGGCACGAAAGCGUGGGGGAGCAAACAGGAUUAGGUACCCUGGUAGUCCACGCCGUAAACGAUGAGUACUAGGUGUCGGGGGUUACCCCCCUCGGUGCCGCAGCUAACGCAUUAAGUACUCCGCCUGGGAAGUACGCUCGCAAGAGUGAAACUCAAAGGAAUUGACGGGGACCCGCACAAGGUAGCGGAGCAUGUGGUUUAAUUCGAAGCAACGCGAAGAACCUUACCUAAGCUUGACAUCCCAUUGACCUCUCCCUAAUCGGAGACUUCCCUUCGGGGACAGUGGUGACAGGUGGUGCAUGGUUGUCGUCAGCUCGUGUCGUGAGAUGUUGGGUUAAGUCCCGCAACGAGCGCAACCCUUGCCUUUAGUUGCCAGCAUUAAGUUGGGCACUCUAGAGGGACUGCCGAGGAUAACUCGGAGGAAGGUGGGGAUGACGUCAAAUCAUCAUGCCCCUUAUGCUUAGGGCUACACACGUGCUACAAUGGGUGGUACAGAGGGUUGCCAAACCGUGAGGUGGAGCUAAUCCCUUAAAGCCAUUCUCAGUUCGGAUUGUAGGCUGAAACUCGCCUACAUGAAGCUGGAGUUACUAGUAAUCGCAGAUCAGAAUGCUGCGGUGAAUGCGUUCCCGGGUCU
This 1327-nucleotide ribosomal RNA is filed under the name uncultured bacterium. RNAcentral's name for it is "bacterial SSU rRNA". It matches the Rfam family "Bacterial small subunit ribosomal RNA", at positions 28 to 1381 of the family's 1533-position model. The record is from RNAcentral.